This 73-nucleotide transfer RNA is filed under the name Camelus bactrianus (Bactrian camel). It matches the Rfam family "tRNA". Rfam says of the family: Transfer RNA (tRNA) molecules are approximately 80 nucleotides in length. Their secondary structure includes four short double-helical elements and three loops (D, anti-codon, and T loops). The record is from Rfam by way of RNAcentral. RNAcentral also lists the same sequence under 2 other names. Lineage: Eukaryota; Metazoa; Chordata; Mammalia; Artiodactyla; Camelidae.
AAAGGUAUAGCUCAAGUGGUAGGGCACAUGCUUGGCACCCAUGAGGUCCUGGGUUCAAUCCCCAGUACCUCCU